UACGGAGGGUGCAAGCGUUAGUCGGAAUUACUGGGCGUAAAGGGUGCGUAGGCGGGGAUAUAAGUCAGAUGUGAAAAACCAAGGCUCAACCUUGGCAGUGCAUCUGAAACUGUAUUUCUUGAGGGAUAGCGGAGAAAACGGAAUUCCACGUGUAGCGGUGAAAUGCGUAGAUAUGUGGAAGAACACCUGUGGCGAAAGCGGUUUUCUAGCUUUAACCUGACGCUGAGGCACGUAAGCCAGGGGAGCAAACGGG
This 253-nucleotide ribosomal RNA is filed under the name uncultured bacterium. RNAcentral's name for it is "partial 16S ribosomal RNA". It matches the Rfam family "Bacterial small subunit ribosomal RNA", at positions 524 to 776 of the family's 1533-position model. The record is from RNAcentral.